UACGGGGGGGGCAAGCGUUGUUCGGAAUUACUGGGCGUAAAGGGCUCGUAGGUGGCCAAUUAAGUCAGACGUGAAAUCCCUCGGCUUAACCGGGGAACUGCGUCUGAUACUGGAUGGCUUGAGUUCGGGAGAGGGAUGCGGAAUUCCAGGUGUAGCGGUGAAAUGCGCAGAUAUCAGGAGGAACACCGGUGGCGAAGGCGGGUCUCUGGGCAGUAACUGACGCUGAGGAGCGAAAGCGUGGGGAGCGAACAGG
Molecule: ribosomal RNA, 253 nt
Filed under: uncultured bacterium
Lineage: Bacteria
Description: partial 16S ribosomal RNA
Rfam family: Bacterial small subunit ribosomal RNA
Source: RNAcentral